Molecule: ribosomal RNA, 719 nt
Filed under: uncultured Desulfitobacterium sp.
Lineage: Bacteria; Bacillati; Bacillota; Clostridia; Eubacteriales; Desulfitobacteriaceae
Description: bacterial SSU rRNA
Rfam family: Bacterial small subunit ribosomal RNA
Source: RNAcentral
GAGUUUGAUCCUGGCUCAGGACGAACGCUGGCGGCGUGCCUAACACAUGCAAGUCGAACGGAGAACUCAAAAAGCUUGCUUUGAGAGUUCUUAGUGGCGGACGGGUGAGUAACGCGUGGGCAACCUCCCCCUUAAACCGGGACAACCCUUGGAAACGAGGGCUAAUACCGGAUACACUUUUCUGAGGACAUCCUCGGGAAAGGAAAGGCGGCCUCUGAAGAUGCUGCCGAUAAGGGAUGGACCCGCGUCUGAUUAGCUGGUUGGUGGGGUAAAGGCCUACCAAGGCGACGAUCAGUAGCCGGCCUGAGAGGGUGAACGGCCACACUGGGACUGAGACACGGCCCAGACUCCUACGGGAGGCAGCAGUGGGGAAUCUUCCGCAAUGGACGAAAGUCUGACGGAGCAACGCCGCGUGUAUGACGAAGGCCUUCGGGUUGUAAAGUACUGUCUUUAGGGACGAACGGUAUCUAUGUGAACAAUGUAGGUACAUGACGGUACCUAAGGAGGAAGCCCCGGCUAACUACGUGCCAGCAGCCGCGGUAAUACGUAGGGGGCGAGCGUUGUCCGGAAUCAUUGGGCGUAAAGGGCGCGUAGGCGGAUUUUUAAGUCUGGUGUGAAAACUUGGGGCUCAACCCCAAGCCUGCAUCGGAAACUGGGAAUCUUGAGGACAGGAGAGGAAAGUGGAAUUCCACGUGUAGCGGUGAAAUGCGUAGAGAUGU